GUAAUUAGCGAUUGCUUUUAUUCCCACAGAGGUGAGGAAAGAGGUCAAAGCUGGUGCCAUUGAGCUGAGUAAAUUCUCUUGCUGAGAUUAGGGUAGAGCUGGGAUCGAGCUGCUCUAAGUCCCCAGGUGCCAAGGAAAAAAAUCCUUUAACAAAAGGGACCUGAACAAAGGAAUAAGCAGGCCUUCCAGUCCAGCAAACAGUGCUAUUUCCUCAUCCUUUUGGUGAACAUUUGAGACAACAUUGCUCUCCCUUUGGCUGAAAAUUGGAGGCUCAGGUAUAAUUUGAACAUACAGCAUGGUGGAGCUCUGACUGAUAGGAGGCAACCUUCAAGUAUCACACUGUGGAUUACUUAUUUUAAGAAAAAAGAGAGCUGGCUUUUCCCUUCAAACAGAUCUUAUUCCCAGACUGCAUAUGCCACUUGCCUAGAGAUUUCCUGGAUGCUGCAGGUGAUCAACAUAAUGUGACUCACAACAGAAGAAGACUUGGAGUCAGCAGUAUCCUUCAAAAAGAUUGGUAGGAGAAAAAAUUAAACUUGGAGCUUGGCCAUGCCUUUGGGUGAGAAAUACCUUGCUGUGCUGGAGCCCUGAGAUCAUGACUGACUCAGGCGAAGUAAAAGGAAAAUGCCGUGGCUGUGCAUAUCCAAGAAAAGCCAAGAUGCAAGUCUCUUUCCAAGGCUGGCUAGCUACUGGGAAAAAGAAGAAUGCCCAUGGCGUAGUAGCAGGCGUCAGUUCU
Zonotrichia albicollis (white-throated sparrow) is the source of this 733-nucleotide non-coding RNA. The record is from RefSeq and is a predicted model, not a curated record. NCBI's taxonomy places the organism in Eukaryota, Metazoa, Chordata, Aves, Passeriformes, Passerellidae.